This 1170-nucleotide long non-coding RNA is filed under the name Astyanax mexicanus (Mexican tetra). RNAcentral describes it as "lncRNA (ENSAMXG00005007219.1)". The record is from RNAcentral. Lineage: Eukaryota; Metazoa; Chordata; Actinopteri; Characiformes; Acestrorhamphidae.
UUUCAAUGUCUUCAUCAUCAGAGGAGAUUAAGUUGGUGCCGUACUGGACCAGAGUUCCUCCAUAUCCAGUGUUUCCAAAUCAGCAGAGAUUUCCCCCAAUCCAGGUUUUUCCAUAUCAGCGGAGAGUUCCCCUACUGAUGUUUCCAUGGUGUCCAUGUCCGCCAAGAUAUUUCAUCUACCUCCCUCCCACAACUACAACCCCGCCUCCAACAACAACCCCAGCUCCACCUCCUCCACCACCAACAACUACAACCACAUCUCCAACAACAACCCUAGCUCCACCUCCUCCACCAACAACCCCAGGUAUACCACCAACAACCACAAUUACGCCAACAACAACAACUACCACAACAACCCCACCUCCACCUCCUCCAACCCCAGGUAUACCCCCAACACCAACAACCACAACUACAACCAAGCCUCCAACUACCACAACCACGCCAACAACAACAACAACAACUACCACAACAACCCCACCUCCACCUCCUCCUCCAACAACCCCAGGUAUACCCCCACCACCACCAACUACAACCACCACCACUAGGAGAGGAGAUAACUGACCUACACUACAAGUCUAGGCCAAAAAAAAAACAAGAAGAUUGAUUUCAGAUGUUUCUAUGGUAUCCAUGUCUGACAAGAUAAUUCCACCACAUCCCUCCCACAACUACAACCUUCCUGAUACAACUAAAACCACGCCUCCACCAACAUCCCCAGGUGUACCUCCACCAUCAUUAACUACAAUUACAACCUUACCUCCAACAACAACUCCAGCUCCACCUCCUCCACCAACAACCCCAGGUGUACCUCCACCACCAUUAACUACAAUUACAACCUUACCUCCAACAACAACUCCAGCUCUACCUUUUCCACCAACAACCCCAGGUAUAUCCCCACCACCAACAACCACAACUACAACCACGCCUCCAACAACUAUAACCACGCCAAUAACAACCACCACCACAACAACACCAGCCCGCCUCCUCCUCCAACAACCCCAGGUAUACCCCCACCCCCAACAACCACAACUACAACCACGCCUCCAACAACUAUAACCACGCCAAUAACAACAACCACCACAACAACACCAGCCCGCCUCCUCCUCCAACAACCCCAGGUAUACCCCCACCCCCAACAACCACAACUACAACCACGCCUCCAACAACUAUAACC